RNAcentral lists this ribosomal RNA (104 nucleotides) under uncultured bacterium. RNAcentral's name for it is "partial 16S ribosomal RNA". It matches the Rfam family "Bacterial small subunit ribosomal RNA", at positions 1379 to 1482 of the family's 1533-position model. The record is from RNAcentral.
CCUUGUACACACCGCCCGUCACCCCAUGGGAGUGAGUUGCUCCAGAAGCCGUUAGUCUAACCGCAAGGGGGACGACGACCACGGAGUGGUUCAUGACUGGGGUG